UGGGGAAUAUUGCACAAUGGGGGAGACCCUGAUGCAGCCAUGCCGCGUGUGUGAAGAAGGCCUUCGGGUUGUAAAGCACUUUCAGCAGUGAGGAAGGUGGUGUACUUAAUACGUGCAUUGCUUGACGUUAGCUGCAGAAGAAGCACCGGCUAACUCCGUGCCAGCAGCCGCGGUAAUACGGAGGGUGCGAGCGUUAAUCGGAAUUACUGGGCGUAAAGCGCAUGCAGGCGGUUUGUUAAGUCAGAUGUGAAAGCCCGGGGCUCAACCUCGGAACCGCAUUUGAAACUGGCAGGCUAGAGUCUUGUAGAGGGGGGUAGAAUUUCAGGUGUAGCGGUGAAAUGCGUAGAGAUCUGAAGGAAUACCAGUGGCGAAGGCGGCCCCCUGGACAAAGACUGACGCUCAGAUGCGAAAGCGUGGGGAGCAAACA
This 427-nucleotide ribosomal RNA is filed under the name uncultured bacterium. Its description in RNAcentral is "bacterial SSU rRNA". It matches the Rfam family "Bacterial small subunit ribosomal RNA", at positions 355 to 774 of the family's 1533-position model. The record is from RNAcentral.